ACGGGAGGCAGCAGUGGGGAAUAUUGCACAAUGGGCGCAAGCCUGAUGCAGCGAUGCCGCGUGAGGGAAGAAGGUUUUCGGAUUGUAAACCUCUGUCCUCAGGGACGAUAAUGACGGUACCUGAGGAGGAAGCUCCGGCUAACUACGUGCCAGCAGCCGCGGUAAUACGUAGGGAGCGAGCGUUGUCCGGAAUUACUGGGUGUAAAGGGUGCGUAGGCGGGACGGCAAGUCAGAUGUGAAAUGUAUGGGCUUAACCCAUGAACUGCAUUUGAAACUGUUUCUCUUGAGUGCUGGAGAGGUAGAUGGAAUUCCUAGUGUAGCGGUGAAAUGCGUAGAUAUUAGGAAGAACACCAGUGGCGAAGGCGAUCUACUGGACAGUAACUGACGCUGAGGCGCGAAAGCGUGGGGAGCAAACAGGAUUAGAUACCCUGGUA
Molecule: ribosomal RNA, 434 nt
Filed under: uncultured Ruminococcus sp.
Lineage: Bacteria; Bacillati; Bacillota; Clostridia; Eubacteriales; Oscillospiraceae
Description: bacterial SSU rRNA
Rfam family: Bacterial small subunit ribosomal RNA
Source: RNAcentral